Molecule: ribosomal RNA, 402 nt
Filed under: uncultured bacterium
Lineage: Bacteria
Description: bacterial SSU rRNA
Rfam family: Bacterial small subunit ribosomal RNA
Source: RNAcentral
GGAAUAUUGGGCAAUGGGGGAAACCCUGACCCAGCAACGCCGCGUGAAGGAAGAAGGCUUUCGGGUUGUAAACUUCUUUUACCAGGGACGAAGAAAGUGACGGUACCUGGAGAAAAAGCCACGGCUAACUACGUGCCAGCAGCCGCGGUAAUACGUAGGUGGCAAGCGUUGUCCGGAUUUACUGGGUGUAAAGGGCGUGUAGGCGGAGAUUCAAGUCAGGAGUGAAAUCUAUGGGCUUAACCCAUAAACUGCUUUUGAAACUGAAUCCCUUGAGUAUCGGAGAGGCAGGCGGAAUUCCUAGUGUAGCGGUGAAAUGCGUAGAUAUUAGGAGGAACACCAGUGGCGAAGGCGGCCUGCUGGACGACAACUGACGCUGAGGCGCGAAAGCGUGGGGAGCAAACA